Molecule: microRNA precursor, 88 nt
Filed under: Salicornia europaea (common glasswort)
Lineage: Eukaryota; Viridiplantae; Streptophyta; Magnoliopsida; Caryophyllales; Amaranthaceae
Description: miR11045 stem-loop (seu-MIR11045)
Source: miRBase by way of RNAcentral
UAGAAUUUCAUUUGAAAUUCUGGAAUUGAGACAAUUAUAAUGUUUGGAUGUCCAAGAAUUUCAAAUGAUGAAUUUGCCCAAAUUCUAC